GUGAAAUUCCGUCGGAAUCUGGGAGGACCAUCUCCUAAGGCUAAAUACUCUCUAGUGACCGAUAGUGAACCAGUACCGUGAGGGAAAGGUGAAAAGCACCCCGGAAGGGGAGUGAAAUAGAACCUGAAACCGUGUGCUUACAAGUAGUCAGAGCCCGUUAAUGGGUGAUGGCGUGCCUUUUGUAGAAUGAACCGGCGAGUUACGAUUUGAUGCAAGGUUAAGCAGUAAAUGUGGAGCCGUAGCGAAAGCGAGUCUGAAUAGGGCGUUUAGUAUUUGGUCGUAGACCCGAAACCAGGUGAUCUACCCUUGGUCAGGUUGAAGUUCAGGUAACACUGA
RNAcentral lists this ribosomal RNA (336 nucleotides) under Staphylococcus aureus. RNAcentral's name for it is "partial 23S ribosomal RNA". It matches the Rfam family "Bacterial large subunit ribosomal RNA", at positions 426 to 765 of the family's 2925-position model. Lineage: Bacteria; Bacillati; Bacillota; Bacilli; Caryophanales; Staphylococcaceae. The record is from RNAcentral.